This 328-nucleotide unclassified non-coding RNA is filed under the name soil metagenome. RNAcentral's name for it is "partial contains 5.8S ribosomal RNA, internal transcribed spacer 2, and large subunit ribosomal RNA". The stretch from base 1 to 120 matches the Rfam family "5.8S ribosomal RNA", at positions 35 to 154 of the family's 154-position model. The record is from RNAcentral.
GAUGAAGAACGUAGCGAAAUGCGAUAAGUAAUGUGAAUUGCAGAAUUCAGUGAAUCAUCGAAUCUUUGAACGCACAUUGCGCCCCUUGGUAUUCCGAGGGGCAUGCCCGUUCGAGCGUCAUUAUACCCCUCAAGCCUAGCUUGGUGUUGGGGCCUGCUGUUACCGGCAGCCCUUAAAAUCAGUGGCAGUGCCAUCUGGCUCUAAGCGUAGUAAUACUUCUCGCUACAGGGUCCCGGUGGAUGCUUGCCAUCAACCCCUAAUUUUCUAUGGUUGACCUCGGAUCGGGUAGGGAUACCCGCUGAACUUAAGCAUAUCAAUAAGCGGAGGA